CCAGAGCAAACAGUUCACUUUACCAGCAGGCUUUCUUAAGAAUUGGCUAGGAUUAUCAUAUUCUUAAGAAAGCUUCAUCUGUGAAAUAGCAAAAUGUAAACAUUUCUUCUCAUAAAAGCAGGAAAAGAAUAUUUACCUGAACCCUGGAGGCUUGGAAAGUUACCUAAAAUAUGUCCCCCGUGCUUUGCCCUACUUGGCAGCCUGGGGAGUCAAAGGACAGAAAUUUCAACAGACUCCAUGAAGCAAACUGGAUCACAACUCAUUCAUUCUCCCACGUGUGAUAUAUUAUAGUGAAUCUAAAAUCCACUUCUGUGUUAUUUAAGUGUGAUACCUCCACUCCAGUUCUUCCAAAUCUUUUGAAAUCACCACAGCAAAGGGCAGACAGAUCAUGAAAGAAGAAGGAUACCAACCACUCUCCAGUGAACAGCAAAGUAGACUUCAUAGAUUAAAAUAAAAGUGUACAAAGUUGUGAGCACAGAAGAAGGAGGGUGAACCUGGGCAGAGAUGAGGAGGAAAGGGUUAUAUCAAAACACAUUGUACAGGAUUCCCAAAAAGCUAGUAAAAAUGAGAUAAGGAAAAGAAAAUACCACAA
Molecule: long non-coding RNA, 592 nt
Organism: Mastomys coucha (southern multimammate mouse)
Lineage: Eukaryota; Metazoa; Chordata; Mammalia; Rodentia; Muridae
Exons: 2
Source: RefSeq, a predicted model, not a curated record